Sparus aurata (gilthead seabream) is the source of this 2766-nucleotide long non-coding RNA. The record is from Ensembl. NCBI's taxonomy places the organism in Eukaryota, Metazoa, Chordata, Actinopteri, Spariformes, Sparidae.
AGGUGUUCAGUCAGUCGUGAAUCAUGAGGGUGGACAUCAGCAGCUGCCUGUUGGUCUUGAUCCUGGGCUUUAAUGUCACUGCAGUAAUGAGCGGGAGGGGCUCCUUCUCCAUGCCUCGUGUUCGCCUUCCGGUGUUCAAACCUCCGCCUCCAGUGUACGUCCCUCGUCUUCCAGAAAUCAAUCCUCGCCUUCCACAAUUCAAUUAUCGCCCUCCAGUGUACAACCCUCGCCCUCAAGAAUUUAACUUUCGCCCUCCAGUGUCCAUCCCUCGCCUUCCACAAUAUAAACCUCCCCCUCCAGUGUCCAACAGUCGGCUUCCAGAAAUCAAUCCUCGCCUUCCACAAUUCAAUUAUCGCCCUCCAGUGUACAACCCUCGCCCUCAAGAAUUUAACUUUCGCCCUCCAGUGUCCAUCCCUCGCCUUCCACAAUAUAAACCUCCCCCUCCAGCGUUCAACGGUUGGCUUCCAGAAAUCAAACCUCGCCCUCCAGUGUCCAACUCUCGCCUUCUAGAAUUCAAACUUCGCCUUCCAGAAUUCAACUUUCGCCCUCCAGUGUACAACUCUCGUUCUCCAGAAUUUAACUUUCGCCCUCCAGCGUCCAUCCCUCGCCGUCCAGAAUUCAAACCUCCACCUCCAGUGUCCAACUCUCGGCUUCCAGAAAUCAAACCUCGCCCUCAAGUGUCCAACUCUCGCCGUCCAGCAUCCAAACGUCACCAUCUAGAAAUCGACCCUGAACUUCUGGAGCUUAUCUUUGGCCUUCCAGCGUCCAGCCCUAACCCUCCAGCGCCCGACCCUACAACAUCCAGUCCUAACCCUCCAGCAUCCAACCCUAACUCUCCAGCGUCCACUCCUCGCCCUCCAGUGUUCCAUCAUCCUCGACUUGCAGACAAACAAAACAUUCAACGAGUUCUUGCAGACCCAGACAGAUUCUUAUGUUACAGAGAGUCAGCGCUGCAACUUCCCGCUAUCCAACCAGAAGAAUGCCAAAAACCCUUCGAUCAGAACAUGUCCAUCAUUCUCAGCUGUCCUCCGUCUGUGGAGGGAAACGUGAUGUGGAGCAGAGAGACAAAUGGAAGCAAAGUUGACAUACUGACAGCUGAUGGUGACAAAGGAAAGAAACACAUCCAGGACCUGGACGGACGAUACAGUUUACUGGCAAAUAAAUCACUUCUUAUUGUCAGAGCUGCUGUCUCUGACGCUGGAAGAUACUUCUGUAACAGGGAAGCAGCUGGGGAGCUGACCGUGAUGAAUUCAGUUGCUCCUAAACACCACAAACAUCAUGAUUUGAUGGAUGAAGUGUCCACUGUCGACUACGGCAUCCUCUUCCUUGGCUUAUUCGCCAUUGCCUUCCUCGUCGUCCUCCUGUUGACUGUGUGUUACGGGUACCGCAAACAAAGUAAAUACAGUCUGACCUGAACUUGUUUGCAAACAGUUGCUUCUCACCACAUCCUGUUAGUCAUCAAAUUGAAAAGUCGUUAAUCAAUGAUUAUUCCCCGGAUUACUAAGACUCUGACAUCCAUGUUUUCGUUUGUCAGGAAAUAAAGGGAAACGGCACGUCCAGGAAGAGAUGCAGGAUGGAUUAGAAUGUCAACCUAGAAAUGGUAAGAACUCAACGUUUCUGCACAACCACAAAAAAAAGUCCAAACUGAACUUUUCCGUAUGAUGAUGUUUGACGCAUGUUUAACUUCAGUUUUCUAUUCCUCUCUCAUCAGAAUACUCUGCUUAGCUUUGGGCACAAAAAAACACAUGGUUGAAGAAAAAACAUCAUGUUUGGCUUCGAAAAGGCUUCAAUCGGCUGGAAAUGUCCCCGGGUCUUCUUAGAAAAACAGAAUAAUGGUGAUCAUCGAUUGUACCAUUGUAAUAAAAACAAAUAAAGCUCUCUCUCUCUCUUUUUUUGAUUCUGAUUUAUUCACAAAAACUACAAAAUGCACCUUUAACCAAGCAACACAGUGUAGGACAAAGACUGAGCAGUUUGAAAUACAUAAAACACAUUUUCCAUCACAGUCAACAGUGAGCUUUUCUACCAAAAUGGUUCUUAACGGAAUUCUUAAUCUUAUAAAUAACUUCAGUAACAAACAGCUCGAGGUAGAAAUGGUUAAAAGGUUCAUUUCAUUGUCUGGUUUGUUAAUUUAAGAUGAAUACUCUUCAUGCUACAGAAGGAAAAUGUUGAAUUUGUUGAAGUGAACAGUAAGUCGUACAUUUUGUUAAAGCCUCAAAAACAUUUUUACAACCAACAUCUUUUAUCAGAGGAACCUUUAAAUAUAUAGUUUCUUGGCUAUAUACACCAAAUAUUAUUCUAUAAGACUGAAGCUAAAGCUAUGGCCACUGAAAGCACAGUCCUCCUUGGCAGAGGUUUUAAAAUGCAGAGCCAAAACCACCAGAAGAGACUGUUGAGGUGUGCAGGACGUCCAGCAGCUCCGUCCACCAGACACCUGUGAGGAGACACCAGAGGACAGAGCAGCAGAUAUCACAAACAUAAGAAUGAGAGCAACAAAACAACAGCUGAACAAUACAAAGUGUAUUUUAACAUCAGAUGUAAAUUCCUCUGUCAGAGGUUUCUAGAGAUUGUACCUCUUGUUUCUGUGUGACGGAGGAUCAGACGUCAUUUUCUCUUUGUGUCGCGCGUCGCUUCUGUUUCUGUCGAGCUGCCAAAGACAGAAGACGAACAUGGAGACGACAUUUUAAUUUAACUUCUGUAUUAACUUCUUAGUUUGUUUGCAGAAUAUCUUAUAAACACUUCUUCAGGUUCAGUGACGCCUGGUAGAAA